This is a long non-coding RNA of Acanthopagrus latus (yellowfin seabream), 767 nucleotides long. RefSeq lists it as uncharacterized. Lineage: Eukaryota; Metazoa; Chordata; Actinopteri; Spariformes; Sparidae. The record is from RefSeq and is a predicted model, not a curated record. The transcript has 4 exons.
GAACAUGGAACAUGAGCAUGGGACAGGAGCAUGGAACAAGCGCAAACAGAAAGCAAUGACCAGACAAGGAGUGAGGGGAACACAGAGACUAAAUACACAGACACUAAUGACAUGACAAGGAACAGGUGAGGAGAGAGGAGGAAGGAAACCAGGUCUGUGGACACCAACCAAGAGCUGUAAACAUGAAGCCAUGGCACACUUUUGUCGUCCUGGCUCCCCUCUGUUGUGCAUCGGCGAGACAAAUGAUCACACUCACCCUGACAGAACUGUUGUUGAGUUCACACCAGAGUUUGCCUGAGAGCUUUAACAGCAGCUAAAAUGAACUGAACCAAACAGGCAAUGUAACCCAGCUCAUCUGAACAGGUAAGAUGUUAAAACACAGCUGGACUCUAAUAUGAGUAUCAUUCUCCUAAACUGCCUAUGAUGUUUGUGAUUGGAAGGCUAAUGCUUCUUAGCAUGCAUUGGGUAUUUGGCAGGAUACACCACGGACAUGACACUAGUCUAUCAAAAGGUUGACACUACAGAUAGGUAACCACUUUUGCACUCACACCAGUGGACUGAUUCCAUGUCACUUAUUCUGCAUGAUAUUAGACCACAGGAAGUGGCUACUAUUACUAUUCAACAGAAAAAAAUCCCACAUUUCCCCAUUAACUUUAGCCAUUGUGGUUUUUAAGUUAUUAUAAAGUAAUCAUCACAUACAGUUGCUUUAAGGAGUCCUUUUUACAACAUACAACUUUUUGAUUUUUUUGUUUUAUAUUUCAAUGUCC